This 253-nucleotide ribosomal RNA is filed under the name uncultured crenarchaeote. RNAcentral's name for it is "partial 16S ribosomal RNA". It matches the Rfam family "Archaeal small subunit ribosomal RNA", at positions 1088 to 1341 of the family's 1478-position model. Lineage: Archaea; Thermoproteati; Thermoproteota. The record is from RNAcentral.
GGGGCGAAUUAGUGGGACUGCCGUUGUUAAAACGGAGGAAGGAGGGGGCCACGGCAGGUCAGUAUGCCCCGAAACUCUGGGGCCACACGCGGGCUGCAAUGGUAGCGACAAUGAGCUCCAAACUCGAAAGAGAGUGGCAAUCUCUAAACGCUACCACAGUUAUGACUGAGGGCUGUAACUCGCCCUCACGAAUAUGGAAUCCCUAGUAACCGCGUGUCAUUACCGCGCGGUGAAUACGUCCCUGCUCCUUGCA